This 446-nucleotide ribosomal RNA is filed under the name uncultured bacterium. RNAcentral describes it as "partial 16S ribosomal RNA". It matches the Rfam family "Bacterial small subunit ribosomal RNA", at positions 338 to 795 of the family's 1533-position model. The record is from RNAcentral.
CCUACGGGCGGCAGCAGUAGGGAAUUUUCGGCAAUGGGGGGAACCCUGACCGAGCAACGCCGCGUGAACGAAGAAGUUAUUCGUAAUGUAAAGUUCUUUUAACAGGGAAGAAAGAGAAAUUUGACGGUAACUAAAGAAUAAGCUCCGUCUAACUACGUGCCAGCAGACGCGGUAAUACGUAGGGAGCGAGCGGUAUCCGGAAUUAUUGGGCGUAAAGGGUGCGUAGAUGGCAUAGUAAGUCUUUUGGAAAAAUGCUGGGCCAAACCCAGUUGGGCAAAAGAUACUGCAAAGCUAGAGUAUGGGAGAGGCGAGUGGAACUACAUGUGUAGCGGUAAAAUGCGUAGAUAUAUGUAAGAACACCAGUGGCGAAGGCGGCUUUCUGGGUCGAUACUGACAUUGAGGCACGAAAGCGUGGGGAGCAAACAGGAUUAGAUACCCGAGUAGUC